AGCGAACGCUGGCGGCAUGCCUAACACAUGCAAGUCGAGCGCUCCCAGCAAUGGGGGAGCGGCGGACGGGUGAGUAACGCGUAGGAACGUAUCCUGAGGUGGGGGAUAACCCUGGGAAACUAGGGCUAAUACCGCAUGAUGGCGAGAGCCCAAAGAUUUAUCGCCUUGGGAGCGGCCUGCGUCUGAUUAGCUUGUUGGUGGGGUAACGGCCUACCAAGGCGAUGAUCAGUAGCUGGUCUGAGAGGAUGAUCAGCCACACUGGGACUGAGACACGGCCCAGACUCCUACGGGAGGCAGCAGUGGGGAAUAUUGGACAAUGGGCGAAAGCCUGAUCCAGCAAUGCCGCGUGGAUGAAGAAGGUCUUCGGAUUGUAAAGUCCUUUCGGCGGGGACGAUGAUGACGGUACCCGCAGAAGAAGCCCCGGCUAACUCGUG
RNAcentral lists this ribosomal RNA (434 nucleotides) under uncultured bacterium. Its description in RNAcentral is "bacterial SSU rRNA". It matches the Rfam family "Bacterial small subunit ribosomal RNA", at positions 29 to 507 of the family's 1533-position model. The record is from RNAcentral.